Molecule: long non-coding RNA, 3982 nt
Filed under: Podarcis lilfordi (Lilford's wall lizard)
Lineage: Eukaryota; Metazoa; Chordata; Lepidosauria; Squamata; Lacertidae
Source: RNAcentral
AGUUAGUUGUUUGAUUACAUGAAUGAGAUUCUCAAUGACUUUAUAUGAGUAAGUGCCAAAUGGGAAAACAUGCAGGUUCUGACUUGGGAUCCAGCUAGAAGUGCCCAGGUUGCCUUCUGAUAAAUUUUUGAAGCAUUAUCGGCGCUGCUUUUGCUUACAUGGAAGUUUGGGGGAUUUUUCUCAAAAGCAAACUUAUUAAAAUUUCAGUUGAAAUUUUGUCAGGUUUAAAUUCAGUAGCAACUAUAAUCCUUUUUCCUAACGACUUUGCCACAUGCAGAGUUGGCCUGGUUCAAAUGUAACACUAAGCUGGGGUCAAUAUGUUGCCUGUAGGUGCUCAUUUCUCUUUUUUUAAAAAAAUAUUUUUAUUCAUUUUCAAAACAAUUUUAUACAAUCAAUUCACAUUUUAUCACACAUUCGUCGAUUUUUUUACUUCCCUCAGUUUCUCUGCCAAUCUUUCAUUUAAAUUUAUAUUGUUAACGCAUUUCUAAACUUAAUAUUGCCUUUAAAUAUCACUUCUCCCUUCUUACUCUCUUUUUUACAAUAUUUCUUAAUUUUUCACAGAGUCUCUUGAAAACCAACAAGCGUUAUCUGUUCAUCACAUAUGCUUUUCAGAUAAUCUGUAAAUCUCCCCCAGUCCUCGAUGAACUUUUGGUCUCUCUGGUAUCGAAUCUUCCCUGUUAGUUUGUCCAAUUCUGCGGGUGCUCAUUUCUCUUUCACUUAGAAGGUCCCCUUCCCCCCCUAAAAGAAGCAUUACAUUGUCACCUUCAGAUGAGGUUAUGGUGUGAACUUGGUUGUAGUGUGUGUGGUGCCCACAGCGGUUUCUCCAGUUUGCAAUUACGUCCACAGGCCCAAAAAGGAUGGCAAGCCCUACGCAAAUCAACCUGUGGCUUAGUGUAAACAAGCAAGCAUGCUGUUCCAUGGAGCAAAAAUCAUGGCCGCUCCGCUCCUCCCCUGAUUCUACUGCUGCCACAUUAUAAGGAGCUCAGCCAUGGUUAGGCCUAGGAUUGCGUGUGAACCAGGACUCAUGGUUUUUUUCACUCCAAAUAUCCCAAGCACUGUAGCCAAGGUUUGUUCUUGGUUUACCCCUCGUGGUUUCUUUAAAGGAGAAGAAACCACAUACUUGGGUUCUCCAGUAGCACUAAACCAAACCAUGGCAUAGUUCCUUGUAGCAGGCCUAGGGAAAGAAAUGAACCCAUUGCACUCUUUGCUCUGCCAUCAGUAUACUUGCUCGUUCAUGCUUAGUAUUAUAUGUAACCAAGACCAUUAUAUUACUUGAAUAAUUUCAUUCGCUUUCAAAUCAUAUGGACUUGAGCUGUGUGCAUGUUUUAGUAUUUACAUUUUUGUUUUAAAGUAUGGCUGUGAUUCCCCCCCCCCUCAAUUUUAUUGUUUUAUCUUUUUGUAAACUGCUUUGAGAUUUUGUACAAUCAGGCAGAGUACGAAUUUUAUUAAAUAAAUAUGCAUUCAAACAAACAAUGGAGACACAAGCAGCUUUAGAGCCACAUCACACUCCAGAAUGGGUGGGCCACUGAUGAACUGAACAGUCUGUGAGACUAAGGCAUCCUCCCUCCUUCCUAAGUCUUGUAUUUUGUUCAGUUUAUUGAGAACUUUAAAACAAUUCUACAAUCUGUUUAAAUGCCUUUAUUCCGAAGCAAAACAUGUUAGCGGUACUUGGUGCUUGAUUGGGCUCUGACAGAUACUGGCACUUUACAGUGUGAUGAAAAUGGAGAUAAGAUUUGAUUAAACAGAGCAUCAAUAGAAACACUAGGCUUCCAUCUCCCUACAAUGAAUGUUAACAGGGAAGUGUUUUCCAAUUUGCAUUGCCGUUUAAGCAGCCGUGCCGUAAUCACUGAAACAGUGUAAUGACUUAAUCUCCCUAUGGAGUCACCCUGUUGUGGUUUUCUGAGGGAUGCUAGCCAUUUUCCCACACGGUAUACACCAUGAAAUUCAAAUAACAUGAAGAGAGAUGUAAUUCAUUUCUCUGUUGCCUUCUGCUGGGCUUCAUUCCCAGAGCCUAGAGCAAAGAUAUGCACACACACACACACGUACGUAUGUGUGAUAAUACUGCAGUCUCUGCACACCUGUUCUGAAUUAUCCACGGAAGUACCAUGGAGAGGGAGAAACUCAUCAUUGUUUUUCAGUGGGAUGGUAGGGGUGGAAAUAUCAUAAAUUUGUUAGGAUAAGAAAAAAGGGGCAGGGAAUCAGUUUUCGUAAUCAAGUUCGUAUUCACUAAUAACAUUUCCAAACCAUUUGCAUACUUCUGAGGUAAAUGUUGAAGCAUGGUUCAUAUGUUACUGGAAAGGAUGUGCUUGCCACUUUCCCAUGACCAUAAUACUCCAAUAACAUUUGGAGGCUAAACCAUGUGGGCUUUCUGAACACAUGGCUGCUCCUCAGGCCAGUGUCAGCAGCCAGGAUGCUGGGUGGGGAACCAGCAUGGGUAUUUAUUUAUAUAUAUUUAAAUUUUUCCACUUUUAUUUCGGGGAAGAAAACUGGAAACUGCUAAGAACAAAUCAAAAGACAUUAAUACAAUAAAACACACACAAGGGGGGGUGGGGGUGGGAGCGUGACAAGCCUUUGAAAACUUCCUGGAACAUUAUAAGAUCUUUAUUCUGAGGCUGGUGUUGGCUUGUUAGGCAUAUACAUGAGGUUAUUGUUGUAUUUUGUUCAGGAAGAGACACAUGGUUUAAAUGCAGAAGGUCCCAAGUUCAGUCUUCUGCUCUGCUUACAGAGAUUCCCUGGUAGACAAGCUGGGCUGGUCUCCGACUUGUAGCCAUGGAGAAUCCUUGGUGGUCAUGGAAGACGAUACAGGGCUAGACGACUCAAAGGGUCUGACUAAGGCAGCUUCAUGUUUAUCUGUUUUUAAGGCUUUAAUCCUAUAGUUGCUUACCUGGGAGUGAUCCCCCUUUAACUCAGCAGGACGUUGUUCUGAGCAGACAUGUAUAGGAUUGACCUGUGGGCCAUGUUACUAAGUGUCCACAACUUUGAGGAACAUGCAAGAAACAAGUGGAAGUAAUUAAAAAUGGGCCACGUCAUUGGAAAGCAGUCCUGUACAAGCUUCAUUAAAAUGAGCUCUGUGUGGUAGAACCUUUGUGCAGCUCCUGUUAAUUUUAAAGGGGCUUUCACACGAGAAGUUCCCUCUGGAUUGUGCCCAUAAUAUUUAAAUAUUUCCAGAUAAAAUUUUAAUGUAGUUUAUAGAUCUUUCUCUAAGUGGAUGAUGAAUCAUUGUUUCUCACAUUUUCCCCUUUUUGUAUUUUUAUUGAUUUUAAUAGAAACAAACAGCAUUACACACACAAAAGAGGAAAAAUCAACAAGGAAUGAUAGGGACAAAGGACAGCACAAAUCACAUAUUGUAUUCUGUGGCAAAAUAAAAUUUAACCCAAGAUAUAUAAAAUACAUUUGUUGUUAAAACAAAUUACUUUUGUGCUUUAAUUUUGUUUGACAUAGCACUGGGUGUUUUACACACAAAAAGGAAUACAUUUCUGAACAAAAUUUUGAAAAGAAUGAUACAAAGGAGUGUAUAUACACUUUAAAAAGUAAAGCUCAUGUUGCAUAAAUAGCUGGGAUUGAUUUAAAUCAAUUGAAGACUAUUUCAUCACUUUAAGUGCCUUCUCAGACAAAUGUCCAUUAUUACUCUGUUCCUGCAAUAUCGAGUGAUGACUCUGAAUGAAUGGGUCAUCACAGAUCAUUGUUUUACACUUUUAAAACAUUUUUAUCUUUCCCUUUGCUCAAAGACCUCAGGGCAACACACAUGAUAUCCUGCCCCCCUCCCCAUUUUACUCUUCCAGACUGAGAGGCCUGUUUUUUGGUGUGUUUUUUUUACUAGGAUCAAUUCACAGAUGUCGUUAUAGACCUGCUCACAUUUUGUGUUUUGCUACUGAAUUUUCUCCAUGUGAUCAUCCUUGAGUACAGUCAUACCUCAGGAUAAAUACUCUUUUUUUAUUAUUUUUAUAAAAUAUUUAUUGAAAUUUCCAAAGUGUUACAACAU